This 289-nucleotide RNase P RNA is filed under the name Actinomycetota bacterium. Its description in RNAcentral is "Actinobacteria bacterium partial RNase P RNA component class A". It matches the Rfam family "Bacterial RNase P class A", at positions 85 to 367 of the family's 367-position model. Rfam says of the family: Ribonuclease P (RNase P) is a ubiquitous endoribonuclease, found in archaea, bacteria and eukarya as well as chloroplasts and mitochondria. Its best characterised activity is the generation of mature 5'-ends of tRNAs by cleaving the 5'-leader elements of precursor-tRNAs. Lineage: Bacteria; Bacillati; Actinomycetota. The record is from RNAcentral.
CCACCCGGGGCGACCCGCGGGACAGUGCCACAGAAAUUAGACCGCCUCGAGCAAUCGAGGUAAGGGUGAAACGGUGGUGUAAGAGACCACCAGCGCGGUAGGUGACUAUCGCGGCUAGGUAAACCCCACUUGGAGCAAGGCCAAGAGGAUCGCUUGCGAUCUGUGCAGACGAGUUGCUCGCUCUAUGUCUGCAGGUAGGCCGCACCAGGUCACUGGCAACAGUGAUCGCAGAUGGAUGAUCGCCCUCGGUUUACCGAGACAGAACCCGGCUUACAGGCCAGCUCGUCCA